GUGGUGAUUAAUGAUACAGAGUGGUAAUAAAUAUAUACAGUGUGGUGAUUGAUGAUACAGAGUGGUGAAAAAUGAUACACAGUGGUGAUACAUAUAAAGAGUAGGGUGAUUGAUGAUACAAAGUGGUGAAAGAUAUAUACACUAUGAGGAUUGAUGAAACAGAGUGGUGAUAGAUACAUACAAAGAGGUGAGACUAUAUACAGUGUGGUAAUUGGUGAUACAGAGUGGGGAUAGAUAUCUAGUGCGGUGAUAGAUAUAUACAAGAAGGUGAUUUAUGAUACAGAGUGCUGAUAGAUAUAUACAAUAUGGUGACUGAUGAUACAAAGUGGUGAUACAUAUAUAGUUUGUUGAUUGAUGAUACAGAGUGGUGAUAGAUAUAUACAGUAAGGUGAUUAAUGAUACAGAGUGGUGAUAGAUAUGUAGAGUGUGGUCAUAAAUAUCUAUUCCGCAAAUUUGGUGUCCUACAGAUACAGUCCUACAUAUAUCGCUAGGCUGUAUUUAUAUUCUAUACAGAUAUCAGUCAUGUGGUAUGAUUUUAUAUGUUCUGUUUGUUUUUCAAAUAUCUCUUUAUAGCAAUAAGAAUCCCACCAAUUUUCUGAAAAGAUACACACAUAAACUUCAGUCUUUUCUACCAUGAC
Molecule: long non-coding RNA, 638 nt
Filed under: Mytilus galloprovincialis (Mediterranean mussel)
Lineage: Eukaryota; Metazoa; Mollusca; Bivalvia; Mytilida; Mytilidae
Source: RNAcentral